Molecule: ribosomal RNA, 408 nt
Filed under: uncultured bacterium
Lineage: Bacteria
Description: partial 16S ribosomal RNA
Rfam family: Bacterial small subunit ribosomal RNA
Source: RNAcentral
GACGAACGCUGGCGGCGUGCUUAACACAUGCAAGUCGAACGGAGUGGCGAACGGGUGAGUAACACGUGGGUGACCUGCACUGCACUUCGGGAUAAGCCUGGGAAACUGGGUCUAAUAACGAAGAGUGUGGGAUGGGCCCGCGGCAUAUCAGCUUGUUGGUGGGGUAAGUGCCUACCAAGGCGGCGACGGGUAGCAGUCCUGAGAGGGUGGACGGCCACGUUGGGACUGAGACACGGCCCGGACUCCUACGGGAGGCAGCAGUGGUGAAUAGUGCACAAUGGGCGGAAGCCAGAUGCAGCGACGCCGCGUGGGGGAUGACUGCCUUCGGGUUGUAAACUCCUUUCACCAUCGACGCGGUAGAUGGAGAAGAAGCACCGGCUAACUACGUGCCAGCAGCCGCGGUAAUAC